RNAcentral lists this ribosomal RNA (253 nucleotides) under uncultured bacterium. RNAcentral's name for it is "partial 16S ribosomal RNA". It matches the Rfam family "Bacterial small subunit ribosomal RNA", at positions 524 to 776 of the family's 1533-position model. The record is from RNAcentral.
UACGGAGGGUGCAAGCGUUACUCGGAAUCACUGGGCGUAAAGGACGCGUAGGCUGUUUAGCAAGUCAGAUGUGAAAUCCAAUGGCUCAACCAUUGAACUGCAUUUGAAACUGCUAGACUAGAGUAUGGGAGGGGCAGAUGGAAUUAGUGGUGUAGGGGUAAAAUCCGUAGAUAUCACUAGGAAUACCUAAAGCGAAGGCGAUCUGCUGGAACAUUACUGACGCUAAGGCGUGAAAGCGUGGGGAGCAAACAGG